UACGAAGGGGGCUAGCGUUGUUCGGAAUUACUGGGCGUAAAGCGCACGUAGGCGGAUUGUUAAGUCAGGGGUGAAAUCCCAGGGCUCAACCCCGGAACUGCCUUUCAUACUGGCAAUCUUGAGUCCGGGAGAGGUGAGUGGAAUUCCGAGUGUAGAGGUGAAAUUCGUAGAUAUUCGGAGGAACACCAGUGGCGAAGGCGGCUCACUGGCCCGGUACUGACGCUGAGGUGCGAAAGCGUGGGGAGCAAACAGG
Molecule: ribosomal RNA, 253 nt
Filed under: uncultured bacterium
Lineage: Bacteria
Description: partial 16S ribosomal RNA
Rfam family: Bacterial small subunit ribosomal RNA
Source: RNAcentral